UUCAGGCUAGCAACACUAUCCAGCCACAUUCGAACAUCUGUAGCAGGCACUUGAUCAGAUUGAAUCCCCAAAGGUGAGGCUAACCAAUAACUACGGCUAAUAGGGUAGUCAUUAAGAGAAUAAAGUUGAUCCUCAAAUUCAUGUCCACACCAACUACACAUCACAUCCACAGAUAUUCCACGUCGAGCUAGAUUUGCCAAGCAUGGAAGGGAAUUAAGAUCGAU
Molecule: long non-coding RNA, 224 nt
Filed under: Ricinus communis (castor bean)
Lineage: Eukaryota; Viridiplantae; Streptophyta; Magnoliopsida; Malpighiales; Euphorbiaceae
Description: long non-coding RNA (RCOM_LNC003144)
Source: RNAcentral